This is a long non-coding RNA of Asparagus officinalis (garden asparagus), 335 nucleotides long. RefSeq lists it as uncharacterized. The record is from RefSeq and is a predicted model, not a curated record. The transcript has 2 exons. Lineage: Eukaryota; Viridiplantae; Streptophyta; Magnoliopsida; Asparagales; Asparagaceae.
CUACCCUUGCUGGUUAUGAGCAGCACGAUGCCCAUGAGUUCUUCAUCUCAAUGCUUGACAGGAUUCAUGAGAAAGAGCAACCUAACCAUUCAAAUAAAGCAGUACAAGUACUCAAUUGCUGAAGAUGAUGAGUCUCCCAAGUCAUAUGUAAUGCAACAAAUUUAGUUUCUGUUGUUCUGUGUACUAUGGUUAAUUUCUUGUACUCCAUGUUGGACUAUCCAAAGGCUAGUAUUUGUUUUUUGGCACAUUUGUGUUGACUCUUCUUGUAUGCUACAACUUGGUUAUGUAUCAGUUUGAACAUUUAAAUGAAAUAUUUUCUUUUAUGGUUGUCACAA